GAGAAGUUGCUGUGGUAACACAGAAGUUCUAGAUGAAGAACCAAGUCAGGAAGAAACAUGGUAGGGAUACUGAGGAAAAUUCAGGCCACCAAUCUGUAGAGAAUACAUCAAUGAAUCCUCUUGCCUUCUGGGUUCUACUCAAGAGGAGAUGCUACGAAGCUCAGAAGGAAGAAGUAGAAGGUCAAGGGACAUCUAGGUUGUUUCCAGUUGCUGACUAUUAUGAAUAAAGCUGCAAUCAACAUGGCUGAGAGAGAGGAAGAGAAAGGAGAAGGGAAAGGGGAAGAGAUGUGGAGAAUAAGGUCAAAAUCUAAAUACUUGCAUGAAAAUGCCCUGAUGAAACUCAGUACUAUGUACAGUAAAUAUAAACCAAUUAAAAUGAUUUUCAAGUU
Long non-coding RNA from Peromyscus eremicus (cactus mouse), 389 nucleotides. RefSeq lists it as uncharacterized. The record is from RefSeq and is a predicted model, not a curated record. The transcript is spliced from 4 exons. Lineage: Eukaryota; Metazoa; Chordata; Mammalia; Rodentia; Cricetidae.